GAUGAACGCUGGCGGCGUGCCUAAUACAUGCAAGUCGAGCGAACGGACGAGAAGCUUGCUUUUCUGAUGUUAGCGGCGGACGGGUGAGUAACACGUGGAUAACCUACCUAUAAGACUGGGAUAACUUCGGGAAACCGGAGCUAAUACCGGAUAAUAUUUUGAACCGCAUGGUUCAAAAGUGUAAGACGGUCUUGCUGUCACUUAUAGAUGGAUCCGCGCUGCAUUAGCUAGUUGGUAAGGUAACGGCUUACCAAGGCAACGAUGCAGAGCCGACCUGAGAGGGUGAUCGGCCAGACUGGAACUGAGACACGGUCCAGACUCCUACGGGAGGCAGCAGUAGGGAAUCUUGCGCAAUGGGCGAAAGCCUGACGGAGCAACGCCGCGUGAGUGAUGAAGGUCUUCGGAUCGUAAAACUCUGUUAUUAGGGAAGAACAUAUGUGUAAGUAACUGUGCACAUCUUGACGGUACCUAAUCAGAAAGCCACGGCUAACUACGUG
RNAcentral lists this ribosomal RNA (497 nucleotides) under uncultured bacterium. RNAcentral's name for it is "partial 16S ribosomal RNA". It matches the Rfam family "Bacterial small subunit ribosomal RNA", at positions 28 to 507 of the family's 1533-position model. The record is from RNAcentral.